This 148-nucleotide non-coding RNA is filed under the name Nomascus leucogenys (northern white-cheeked gibbon). The record is from Rfam by way of RNAcentral. Lineage: Eukaryota; Metazoa; Chordata; Mammalia; Primates; Hylobatidae.
GCCAGGCAUGGUGGUGCACGCCUGUAAUCCCAGCUACUCAGGAGGCUGAGGCAGAAGAAUCGCUUGAGCCUGGGAGGCAGAGGCUGCAGUGAGCCAAGAUCAUGCCACUGCACUCCAGCCUGGGCUACAGAGCAAGAUUCCGUCUCAA